RNAcentral lists this ribosomal RNA (497 nucleotides) under uncultured bacterium. Its description in RNAcentral is "partial 16S ribosomal RNA". It matches the Rfam family "Bacterial small subunit ribosomal RNA", at positions 28 to 507 of the family's 1533-position model. The record is from RNAcentral.
GAUGAACGCUGGCGGCGUGCCUAAUACAUGCAAGUCGAGCGAACAGACGAGGAGCUUGCUCCUCUUACGUUAGCGGCGGACGUGUGAGUAACACGUGGAUAAUCUACCUAUAAGACUGGGAUAACUUCGGGAAACCGGAGCUAAUACCGGAUAAUAUAUUGAACCGCAUGGUUCAAUAGUGAAAGACGGUUUUGCUGUCACUUAUAGAUGGAUCCGCGCCGCAUUAGCUAGUUGGUAAGGUAACGGCUUACCAAGGCAACGAUGCGUAGCCGACCUGAGAGGGUGAUCGGCCACACGGGAACGGAGACCCGGUCCAGACUCCUACGGGAGGCAGCAGUAGGGAAUCUUCCGCAAUGGGCGAAAGCCUGACGGAGCAACGCCGCGUGAGUGAUGAAGGUCUUCGGAUCUUAAAACUCUGUUAUUAGGGAAGACCAAAUGUGUAAGUAACUAUGCACGUCUUGACGGUACCUAAUCAGAAAGCCACGGCUAACUACGUG